Long non-coding RNA from Camarhynchus parvulus, 214 nucleotides. RefSeq lists it as uncharacterized. The transcript is spliced from 3 exons. The record is from RefSeq and is a predicted model, not a curated record. Lineage: Eukaryota; Metazoa; Chordata; Aves; Passeriformes; Thraupidae.
CGGCCGCCUCCUGGGGGGGCCCCGGGGGGGGGAGGGGCCGGAGCCCGAGCCCCCGUUCGAGCUGCUGAGCUGCGUGACGUUGGCGCCCCGCCCCUCUCCCGUUCGGGGCCCCCCAUUGGCUCGCGCCGAUUGGGGGCGGGGCCUGAGCCCGGCGGAGCUGCGGGAGCGAAUCUUCCGCGGGGGUGUGAGCCCCGAGUCCCAAAUGUCCCCAGGC